UACGUAGGGUGCAAGCGUUGUCCGGAAUUAUUGGGCGUAAAGAGCUCGUAGGCGGUCUGUCGCGUCGGCUGUGAAAACCCGGAGCUCAACUCCGGGCCUGCAGUCGAUACGGGCAAACUGGAGUGUUGCAGGGGAGACUGGAAUUCCUGGUGUAGCGGUGAAAUGCGCAGAUAUCAGGAGGAACGCCGGUGGCGAAGGCGGGUCUCUGGGCAACAACUGACGCUGAGGAGCGAAAGCGUGGGGAGCGAACAGG
This 253-nucleotide ribosomal RNA is filed under the name uncultured bacterium. RNAcentral describes it as "partial 16S ribosomal RNA". It matches the Rfam family "Bacterial small subunit ribosomal RNA", at positions 524 to 776 of the family's 1533-position model. The record is from RNAcentral.